Colossoma macropomum (tambaqui) is the source of this 2415-nucleotide long non-coding RNA. RefSeq lists it as uncharacterized. The record is from RefSeq and is a predicted model, not a curated record. Lineage: Eukaryota; Metazoa; Chordata; Actinopteri; Characiformes; Serrasalmidae. The transcript is spliced from 3 exons.
CAUGGAAGUGAUUGGAACACCUGAAUUCAAUGAUUUGGAUGGAUUACUCUCUCAUCAUUGUGUUUGUCUGGGCUCUGCUGCUGUUUGGAGGAUCAGUACUGAUCUUCUAUAAAUGGAGUCACAAUAGGACACAAGGGUCUGCCUCUACAAACAAUGAGAGAAGAAUACAGAACACUGUGAGUGAAAAGACCCAUUAAAAUCAGAGUCUUAAACCUGCGUCUCAUUAUAACCAAAUAUGAACUGUUUUAAAAUGUAAAAGCGUACGUCAGUAGUAUUCAGCACUGUUUUAUGAUGCUACAGGGUCUGUAAGUGUUGGCAUUUGGAAGAUGCUUUGGAAGAUGAUCCAGAUGACCAAGGACUUGUGAAGUAUCUAAAUAUUAAUGCCAGUUGUGUUUAACCUGAAAUCUCCACAGCAGUAGAUCUUCACGGCCAGAGUUGGAAACUCUUGGUUUAAAGGCCACAUUGGGAAUUAUUCUGCAUGAAUGAAUGAAUGUAAUGUGACUAAGGUUUUAAGUUAUUUUUUCACUGUGUGUCUUACAGUGGUUGCAGGCUGAUGGUGAUUUAUGAAAAUGAUCUUCCUCACAACCAGAACAACAUCAGCAUGGGUCCAAUCUACCAGAGCCUGGACCCCAAAACCAACCAAUCAGAUUCAGUCUACCAGAGUCUAAACCCCAACACCAACCAAUCAGAUUCAGUCUACCAGAGUCUAAACACCAAAACCAACUGAUCAAAUACAGUCUACCAGAGCCUAAACCCCAACACCAACUGAUCAGAUUCAGUCUACCAGAGUCUAAACCCAAAUACCAAUCAACCAGAGGUAGUCUACCACAACCUAGACUUGAACACCAAAUAAUCAAAAUCAUUCUAUCAAAGUUUUGACCAGGGGUGUCCAAUCUUAUCCACAAAGAGUAAGUGUGGCUGUCGGCUUUCUUCCUAUUGUGUAAUCAGUGGGUCUUAGUCUGCAAACAAUUGAUCAUGUGUAGUCCUGCUUUAUUGGAUUAGAUUGGACAUCGCUGUUUUAACACAAACAAAUGAGAUCCAAUCCACCAGAGCUGAAACCCAAGCACCAACAGAGCUCAACUCAGAUUUAGCUGUCUAAACCGAUUCUCAAAGUAUGGCAGCAAAAAAUAAUUUGCAGUUAUAAUUUGUCUUGAUCAAGAUGAAAAUGUAUGUAAAUUUCUUCCAACACUGGCUUUCCAUUCAAAUUUGUGUGAGAAAAUCUGAAGAAUCCUGUUGAACUCGACUGCAGUUCUGUAAGCCCUAUCUAUGUAUUGAAUUUAGCAAGUUAUAGAUUAGGAUUAGGAUUAUUGUUUCCAAGAAUUAUUGCUGAACAUGUUUACAAAUUAGGUUUAUUUUAUUAUGAAUAUUGUGAUGCUGUGGCAAAGAAGAGUCAGGUGAAGCCUUGAUUUCUACUUGGAAAAAAAGCUUUUUUGUUAACAAAACAGCAGAAAAAGCACACAACACACUGCUCUAACUCCUCUAACACUGCUCUUAGGCUACCAGCCAAUGGUCACCAUACCAAUAACACAAAACAGCCAAUGGGUUACCAAAGCAGAGGGACUGCAGUGGAACGUGUGAUGGCUUCAGCACCAAGCAGCAGCCUGACUAGUAGAAUCUCUGCCACAGCCACCCCAAAGUGCCCCACAGCAGCUUCCCCAUGCACCACUCCCACCACUGUUUUACAGAGGCUGGGUGGCACCAGCAAAUGCCAGAGGUGCUCACUGGGCAAUGGCUCCUCCCACAUGUGGUACAACAACCCCUUUUGCAACUGGAGACAACCAGUGCGGAGCACCUUGGCAGUGGACCCAUGCAGUGUUACAUCGGUCCAUUCUGGUGUGCCCCACCUGGAGCCAGCGGUACGCUAAAGGAGGGUUCAGCGUCUUCCUCCUAGACACAACAGAACUCCUAAGAGCUUAUGGAGUCCAGUACAACCAGGAGCAACAGCCAUGGCCACAGCUCUCCUCUCCACUAUCUCAGCUUUCUCCUCAAGGGAUGCUUAAUACUGGGACUCCUCCCCUGAGCAAAGGCGAUGAGACACUGGUAUUACCAUAUAGGUGACUGGCAUGAUGCUGAACGGAUAAGUUGUACUCUAGUAGCACCGUGAUCAACCUCACUACCUGACCCACAGGCUCUUUCAACUACAUGAGUCAGAUCAAAGGAGGCAUGAUCAGUGCACAACAUGAAGGGGACACCAUACAGGUAGGACUGGAACUGGUGCAGCCCCACCACACCUGGAAAACGUGAUGCACCAGUCCUUGGGGAUGCUGGUGAGCACUUGAUCCAUCAGCUGCCUGAAUGUAUCUGGUGAAUUUCGGAGGCCAUUACUGUGAAAUGCCAUAGUCCGGUGCCAAACAUGAACACUGUGUGUUUAGAGCAAGUACACACUCUCCAUUUCCAGUGAACUGAACUCUGAGA